RNAcentral lists this non-coding RNA (32 nucleotides) under unclassified sequences. The record is from RNAcentral.
GGGGCGAAACCGAAAAGCCUUAAGAGUAGGAA